CUGGCACCAGAGCUGCUGCUCCAGGACACUGGCUGUAGCUGACUUCUGUGCUUCCACUUGUGCCAGAAUGGGUGAAGUCAUUACCCAAGAGUUCCAUUCUGGGAAAAUAGUGACAAGAGCUCUCUGACAACUAAAGACCACCAAACCACCCAAAGUUGGGAAAGCGUUACCACUGAGAAUGCAAAGGCAAGAUGGCAGUGGGAAGAAGAAUUCAACCUCUCAGCCGUUUCCUGGUAGCUUGUAUUUCAUCACCCGCUGGGAAAGACAAAUGGAAAUACCUGGGCUCAGUGCAGGGGUCAGUAGCAGCAGUUUGUCCAUAUUCCUGCUCUGAUUAGAGCCGGAAAUUAAACAAGCACCAGUUCAUCUCAAAAGAGCCUUAUACAAACACACACACACACACCCAAACCCAUUCACAUGUCAUCACCACCCCCUUUUAUUUAAAUUUAUUAUUUUUUUACUAAAAUAAUACAAAAAAGAGAGACAGGUAUAUUUACAAAAAUCCAUGGCUGGUACAGUACAUAAUUUUUAAGACACACUAAAUGCUACAAUCUUUCAGGUCCUGAGAUUAUUACAAAUAUCAACUCAAAGCUGUGUUCAGGUCCAGUUUUAAAGGAGGAAAAAAAAUCCCAAAAUAUUAAGUCAUACACUUAUUUAAAAUACAGUAUAUCCCUUCAAAUUAGCAAAAACACACCUCCCUAUAAACAAAUGCAAUACAGUAAGCGGUGCCUUUCCCCCAGGGGAGCAGCAAUUGUUUAGGCUCCUUCCUUCAAGGUUGGUUGUGAAAGCUGUUGGCGUCUUUAUCAAGUAUGGAGGAGGGUGCAGUGAGAGGAGGAUGUGUAACUGGAGGGAAGUUCCUCGACAGAGGGAACGCUCACUGUACAAAUACGUCCUGUUUUUCCUUCUGUCACCAAACAAAAGUCUUUCCCUUAUCAAAACUCACACUGUAAGGGUUGGAAAUAUGUGCUUACCCAGACUAAAAAUCAGAAUCCUUAUUUCCAAUCAGUUAUAGCAAAUAGGUCUGCAGUCCCAUAAUAAUUUUUACAGCUAUAAAUAGAUUUUCUUGCUUGUAAUAAAAGAGAGAAAACACCUUGGUAGAGUCUGAUUAACAUAUUAUUUGGGGCACAAAAUUUUCACCAGCCAGAAAUUUCUUUUCCUCUUCUUUUAAGCCUGACAGUGUUUAGUGAGCAAAACACAAGGGCAAGCCCCAGAUUUACAUACUCUUCUUAAGAACAAUUUGAUAUUUUUGAUACCUACUAUAAUACAAUUUUUCAAUGACAGCCAACAAAAGGACUGUCCAAGCUUGAAUCCUUUCUCUGGAGGCUGGCCAUGGAUUCAAGGAAAUUAUUUGUAGGUUGGGAACCUAUUCUACUGGUGGAAGGGCCCUUUGCUUAUCUGAAGGUCUCAGAAGGUAUAUGUAAUUAAUUACAUAGGCAUAUCAGGAUUUUAAAAGUUGGCCAAAGUUGGCCAACUUUCCAACUAACUAUAUAAAACAAUAAAACCUUUGUCAACUGAAAAUAACUUCUUUCUCUUUUAAUGCUUCUAGCCAGAAUUGGGGUAAUCCUUGGUAAUUGUGCAGGUACGGGAAAGAACACCCAAUGUUUGGCACGGGGCACACUAUCCCUGCAAACAGCAGAGAUAAACAAAAAAUGAGGAAAGUUUACGGCCGUAAGGACAGAAAAUACAGGAUAGGUAAGAUCUGACAAAUUAAGGGCACGUUGUCACAUAGAAAAACAUGCCACCUGUCUGGUCUUGAUUCCUGCUGACUCCUAAAUGUGCUUAGAGGGUAGAUGGAGCUGUUAACUUCAAAAACAGAAGUAUUUCCAAGUUAUCUUGGGUAAUAGUCAUCUUGUUUGUAUUUCAAUUAGGUUUCCAUUAGUGCUCUCUUAUAAAAUAUUUUAAAAUUAGAUUUAGGAUAAAAUAGAAUUAUAUUAUUAUUAGGAAAAUGGGAGCAAAUAAUGUAUAGAGAGUUUUCUGAGGAACAUAAAAUUGGUACUAAGGAUUCACAUGGCCUGUUUGACUCAGACCUUUGCCGAGCAGGUUUAUUGCAGGGAAGUACGAAAUAGCAAGGCAGAGUAUUAUGAAGGUAAGAGCCCCUAACAAAAGUCUGCAUCUCUCUUGAAUAACCUUGAGAAGUAUCAAGAAGCAGCCAUGAAAUGCAGCUGCUACCACAUUAUACAGCAGAGAAAUCUAUUUUUUUAAUACAAAGGAGAAGAGAAAAAAAAAAUCCAGUUACUAAUGAUGAUUCUAAGUCCUGGAUAUAUAGAGCCCCUUAAUUGUACUACUGAGAUUUCUGUAAGUAUUCUUGACCUGUUUGGGUAACAGUUCAGAAAUGUGUCCAAAAUUUAAGUACUAACCUGCUAUAAAAUGGAAAUAUAUUGGAAAGAUUGAGCAGUAGAAGUAUUACAGUAUGAGGAAAUUAUAUAAAGAUCACAAAUAGCUACUUUCAAGCAAACGGUUCUUUAGGAGUAUCUGAGAAAAAUGUGAUUUAAUAUCACCUUAUUCAAAGGCAGUCUGACUGAAAUCCUAUGAGUCCCUGUCCGUGUCUAUGCGGGGAUGUAAACAGUCUCCUGGAAAACGCCUGCAGUCUGUCCUUGAAUUCAAUGGGGACACAGGAUAGAGGGUCCAAGUGAGAGAGAACAGGUGAAAGGCAGGGUGACCUUGCCUCUGCGGACCCUUAACAUGCACUUCAUAUUCCACUGUAGCAACUGGUUGACGAACAGUUAACUUAAGAGCUCACACUAGAGGAAAGAAGAAUGAAGACUAAAGGAAAUGAAGAAAGAAGAAUCAACAUUAAUAUUCAAAGCUAUUUUUAAU
Long non-coding RNA from Equus asinus (donkey), 2814 nucleotides. NCBI's taxonomy places the organism in Eukaryota, Metazoa, Chordata, Mammalia, Perissodactyla, Equidae. The record is from Ensembl.